Molecule: ribosomal RNA, 253 nt
Filed under: uncultured bacterium
Lineage: Bacteria
Description: partial 16S ribosomal RNA
Rfam family: Bacterial small subunit ribosomal RNA
Source: RNAcentral
UACGUAGGGUGCGAGCGUUGUCCGGAAUUAUUGGGCGUAAAGGGCUCGUAGGCGGUUUGUCGCGCCGGGAGUGAAAACACCGGGCUUAACUCGGUGCUUGCUUUCGAUACGGGCAGACUAGAGGCAUGCAGGGGAGAACGGAAUUCCUGGUGUAGCGGUGAAAUGCGCAGAUAUCAGGAGGAACACCGGUGGCGAAGGCGGUUCUCUGGGCAUGUCCUGACGCUGAGGAGCGAAAGUGUGGGGAGCGAACAGG